AAUCUAUUAAUUGUCAGCUAUUAUUGUUAAUUUAUUGAUUAAUUCCUUCCUUAUGAUUUGAUUGGUCACAGAAAUGACUUCGUUAAAUUCCCAGAAAUCUUUUGCCCACCAGUCCAUUUGCAACAAUUUUAUUUUAUCUGAUGGGAAUGAGAUUAUUAUUUGAUUGAUUGGUCACAAAAAUGACUUUGUUAAAUUCCAAGAAAUCAUUUACCUCCCAGUCCAGUACUUACAGUCUGAGUAGUUGUGUUUGGAAUGUGAUUUGUAGUUGUGUUGCCUACUGAUAUUGUUGUUUUAUUGCCUACUGAUAUUGUUGUUUUAUUGUAGAUGAUUACUAAUUUAAAAUUGGUCAGAGAAUAUAUGCCUGGAACAGUGAGAUGCUAAACACCAAUCUGAUCAUUAUUUCUGGGCCUUAUCUUGUUUUAAGUACAAUGGCAGAAGAUAGUGUAAGACUGAAUGUACCACUUGAAAUCUAAGAGAUUCUGAAGAGUACAAUUCUUGUAGCAAAGAACCUUUUUGUUCAGUAGCAUCUGAGUCAGGCAAGAUUUCACGUACAAUGAUGUAUAUUGGAUACAUUGUCUGACUUUGUAUAUGAACAGGAGAGAACAGAGUUUUUCAUAUGAACUGUAACCCUGGGUAGUGUUUGAAUUGAAGACAAACUUAUGUAUUUAUAAGCGUUUAGAUGAGAUUUGAAAUCACACGGUAGUGAACGAAAAGGCAGCAACCCAUUCGUUGCAAUCAAUUACUUUGGGAAUUAAAUCCGGUUAUUUAAUUA
This is a long non-coding RNA of Ipomoea nil (Japanese morning glory), 772 nucleotides long. RefSeq lists it as uncharacterized. Lineage: Eukaryota; Viridiplantae; Streptophyta; Magnoliopsida; Solanales; Convolvulaceae. The transcript is spliced from 3 exons. The record is from RefSeq and is a predicted model, not a curated record.